AGAGACAUAGACUGUAUAUAGGGUUUUGCAGAAGCAGGAUGGAGACGAGAGAACAAGACUGAGAAUUUGCUCUAUACCCAUUGAGAGAAGGAGGGCUGAAAACUGUAAAUUUUAAAUAUGCAUCCAAAGAUGUCUAUUGCUAAUUUUAUCAUCCGUAGGAUGGACUGAGAAAAUCAACAAGCGUUUGGGCUGUGCAGUCUCUCAUUAAUAUGUUUUGGCUUCUGGGAUGUCUACUCAGAGGACAUUUCGAGAUAAGUGUUGCAAUAUAUUUACACAGACAAGAAAAAGCUGUCAAGAAAAUUAUUAAUAUGUGUGCUGAAAAAUGCACAUGAAUGUAUAUUCUAGUUUGAGUUAGUGGCAUAUUUAAAGAUUAUACAUGUAUGUGUAUAUGGGAUGUGUGUAUGUAGAUGAGUAUUCUCAAAAUUGAGAACUGAUUGAUUGAGAUUGGAGUUGCUAAUUCUUACGGCAAUGAGAGUCUAAAAAGACAAAAGAAUAUAUAAACAAUUUAUUGAAAUUUACGUCUGUAAAUAAUGAUUUCUAACCUAACCUAGUCCCAGCUCUGUUA
This is a long non-coding RNA of Oxyura jamaicensis (ruddy duck), 565 nucleotides long. RefSeq lists it as uncharacterized. The transcript is spliced from 3 exons. NCBI's taxonomy places the organism in Eukaryota, Metazoa, Chordata, Aves, Anseriformes, Anatidae. The record is from RefSeq and is a predicted model, not a curated record.